RNAcentral lists this unclassified non-coding RNA (266 nucleotides) under Hevea brasiliensis (rubber tree). Lineage: Eukaryota; Viridiplantae; Streptophyta; Magnoliopsida; Malpighiales; Euphorbiaceae. The record is from RNAcentral.
UCAUUAGAGAUUCUAAUGUCACAUGACUACGAAAUCUCCAAUAGUGCUUUGGAUUUGUAGGGUCGUUGAUUGUCUCCUCUUUUGCAGGUCGUGUUGUGUAUUCCUCUUUCAAUGCUAACAAAUCCUGAAGUGGGAAGAUAGCCCACAUUGAUGGAGCUUCAAAAUGCUGCUUUAUGAUGAAAUGUGCGAUCUCUGGAAUACAUUGGCUAGGUGGCAAGAUAUCAGAUUCUAUAAUGUUCUUCAUAAACCGUUGUCUUCUUUCUUCG